GACGAACGCUGGCGGCGUGCCUAACACAUGCAAGUCGAGCGGGGUCCAUCCGGUGGCAACACCGGUGAAGACCUAGCGGCGAACGGGUGAGUAACACGUGAGAAACCUGCCCUGAAGUUCGGGAUAACCCGGGGAAACCCGAGCUAAUACCGAAUACCCUCCUUUGAUCGCAUGGUCGAGGGAGGAAAGAUUCAUCGCUUCAGGAGGGUCUCGCGGCCUAUCAGCUAGUUGGUGGGGUAAUGGCCUACCAAGGCGUCGACGGGUAGCUGGUCUGAGAGGACGAUCAGCCACACUGGGACUGAGACACGGCCCAGACUCCUACGGGAGGCUG
Molecule: ribosomal RNA, 331 nt
Filed under: uncultured Actinomycetes bacterium
Lineage: Bacteria; Bacillati; Actinomycetota; Actinomycetes
Description: bacterial SSU rRNA
Rfam family: Bacterial small subunit ribosomal RNA
Source: RNAcentral